Molecule: long non-coding RNA, 4171 nt
Organism: Vidua chalybeata
Lineage: Eukaryota; Metazoa; Chordata; Aves; Passeriformes; Viduidae
Exons: 4
Source: RefSeq, a predicted model, not a curated record
CACAGCACAGCAGCGCCUCUCUGCCGCCCCAGCUGAAGCCCUCGCUGGCUGCUCCAGGCUCCAUGGGCAGACUGGGAACACAGGAGCUCCUGGUGGUGACGUUCCCAGAUCCGGAGGCACGGCUGUGUUCCAUGAAGGCUGGCUUGAGUGUGGGACCCUGCCCUCUGAUGCAGGUGGGAUUGGGGCUGUAGGCACAUCCCCUGAUGUAGGUGCGGCCAGGCUCCACGGAGGUGUGCAGGUCUCCUGAGGGGGCACUCUUGGCAUUUGCAUGGUGAUGGGAGGUGCCAGUGGUACCAUUGCAAAUGGUGGGGGGGGGCGGUCUCAGCAGUUGCAUGGCAUGGUGUAAUGGCUGCAGAAUUCGCCUUUAUCCUGGGAUAAGCCACCACGUGGUCUGGUCCCACAGAACAGGACGGCAUGGCGUACCUGCCUGGAUCGGCAAUAUAGCGGCCCAAGGUGGCUGCAUAGUGAUUACAGCAGUCCAGAGUGGACAUGGGGCAUGUCAGAGCUGCCGGGGCUUCAGCGGCCGCCAUCUCUCCGUGUGGCUGGAUGGCGCAAUCUGUCCUGCCGGCUCCCUGGGCAGUGCCAGCAUUCGCGGCGUGGGCAGCUUGCAGAUCUCCGUUUGCUGGGAUUGUCUCCAUUUGCUGGGAUUCUCCCAGUCCCUGGGCCUGUGCCGCUCCUUAUGGUCACGCCGCAGCAGUUCUCACAGCAGCCGGGGCCCACCGACUCCCUGGGCAGUGCCGGCUCCUGCGUGGGGUUGCACAAAGAAACAGGUGCACUGUUGCCCUUCCCUCUUUGCCUCUCAUAUUCGAGCUGUUUUCGCAAGUCCAUAACAAUUGUCCAAGGUUUUAUAGCUCUGAUGGCUGUGUCCUUACCAUUAGAGGCUGGAGCAAUUAUAUGUUGUCCAACCCCCUCCUAAAAGGGUAAGUUUAAAGCGGUCUCUUCGGAAACAUUUAGUUCAUGGCUUUCACAUCACCUUGCAGAGUAAUAAAUGCCUCUUUUUUAAAAAAAGAACAUCCAUACCUUCAGGAUGGCUGAAGCUCCCUCUGGCUUCAGCUCUUUUAGUGACAAGAAGUGGCCAAGACCCCCAGUGCUACCCUGAUGAGGCCUUGGUGCUGCUCUUUUAGUGUUGGGCAAUGGCCACUGCUGAUGCAGGUUUUUGUUAUUUUUUAUUCUAUUCUCUACCGCUGCUGUUUCUCGCUGCUCUUGGUGCAACUCCUCUGUGACACGGGCAGCGGGGAACCCUUGGUGUGACUUUUUUCUUGUAUUUUAUUCUAUUGUCUAUGUUUAAUUCUAGUCACACUGUUAUAGAUGAGCAAUAUAAUAGUUGACUCUAACAAUUAAGAGAUAAAUAUUAUGUGGAUAUAUAGUAAUGUCAUGGUAGUAUGUCCCCCAUAGUCCUCUUUCCUUCCCCCUUGCAAUGCAAUGGCCUCAGUAGUCAGGGCAUGUAGAGAAAGCCAUCUUAUUACCAAGAUGCACAGUGUAACAACACCUGAUCUCCAAUCAAGAUGUAAGGAGGUAAUCACUAAUGGAUGGCAGAGAAGGAGUUGACUGACAAAACUUCGGGAGCAGCUAAGGAUAUAAAAGGCAGAGCAUUCAUGUUGUAGAUGAGCACAUGGCUGAUAGUCAUGGGGGGGUGGUGCUCCCAGCACUGUAAUUUUUCCUUAUUUAGUCUUUUUGGUUCUUUUUUGUUAAGGUUUAAUAAACCUUUAAAAAUUCUAAAAGUGAGCAGUUGUUUCUCACAAUGGGGACUCGUCCAGGAUAAAACCUUGUCUCUGUGGCUGUAGGAGAUUUUGAAAGAGAAGCACACCCUGCCAAGUUUGGCAGCUCAGUCAAAUGACCAUUGGUGAUUGCAGGUACAGACUCUGGGGACAGCAGAGGACUAAAUAACGAAAAAGAAGAGGGGGAAGAAAACUGCAGAUCUAGACGAUUUUUCAGACAAUACAUGGGACACAUCCUGGUCUGUUGAAGCCUUAAGAUAUUGGACGGUCAGAAGACAAAGAACGGCAACUGCUGCUGGCUGUGACUGUCUUUGCAGUUCAGCUGGAACCUGGACAGUUGUAACAUCUGUGGGUUCUACUGCUGCACCAUCAGACUCUCCCUCUUCGAGGCAGGGGAAGGGCUUCUCAUCAGCUGGGGAAAUGUACUCCUUCAGCAUCUGGCCUAUCUCCUUUACUAGAAACCCCACCCACUCUGGGUAGUUCAUAUCUGGGGUGGACUGUGGGGCAGGGUCAGGUUCUGGGGCAGCAGCAUCUCUAGUCUUGGGUGCCUUGUCAGGUUCUGGGUUAGGUGUCAGGGUGGUUCUUCCCUUAUCUCUAAAUGCUAAAUAGAACAGGCCUAACAGCAUCACCAGCCACUGUAUGAUAGCAUUAGUAUUUAGAGUGGAUCUGAACCCUUCAAAAACUGGUGGGGCAGACCCAAAGAGAUGCUUAAAGGGUUGGGAGAAAAUUUCCCCUGGUAUAAUUUCCUUACAGUAGGUGUCAUUAUUAAAGUAACCCCAAAAACAUAUAGUUAGUGUGUGGUAGCUGUGAAUCCAUGUGCCUGCUUUCCAGAGGAAGUUAAAAAUUCAUUAAUUCCUCAUCUUAUUCACCCAUAAAACAAACCGGAUAACAGCCACAGUAGCCUUGGUUAUAGGACCCAUGUUUAGAUAAGGGCCUGCAAAUGGGAGAAAUAAAGCCACAAUUACACGCCAAACCAGGGUAGGCUGGACCACAUGGUGUCGCUUAACGAGGUUUCUAUAGCAGCACACAAAAAUUAGAUUACUCAAGAACUGUUAUUCCCUUUUUUGUUUCUAUGCCCUCGAGCCCCACAUUGAGCGCCAAAAUCUGUCUUGGUUUGGAAAGACAGGUCUGCUAAGGAAGGCAGGAGUCUCUUGAAAUAGAAAAACGUAAACUUCUUCCUUCUGAAUUGUUAUAAAUUUGAAAAUAAGGGGGGUUUUCAGGUAAAAAUAUGGGAAUAGGAAUAACAGUUCUUUAUUAGGGAAGAAAAUAAAAAAAUAAAAUAUACAAUGCAGUGAACUAAAACAACACUGACAGAGCCAGAAUACAAGCUGACACGCUAUUGGUCAGGGUGUUGGCAGCAGUUAAAUUGGAAUUAUGGCUGCGGUUUUUCUGGAGUGUCAGGUGUGGUUCUGUUGGAGUAGGGACUCUGUAGAAAAGGGUGUAGUCUUCUUUUGAAGAGGUAGUGGAAGAGGCAGCUGUUCCUUUGGGAAAACCCAGUGCAGAAAAAACCUGUGCUGAUGGGCCAGAAUCUCAAGACUAUACAUGAAGGUAGGAAUGCUUGGCUCCUCCCUCUGGGCGGAGCAUCUCACAAUGGGAUAUUAUAGUUUUUAUUAGCCAUGCAGUGACACUCAAUGGCCCAUUAUUAGUAGAUGUCUCCCCAGAGGGAGGAUUGAUUGUGGAAGAGAUAAGGAAAAUUGCCCACUUAACACAAGACAACUGCCAUACAGAUGGCAAAUAGAAUACAUCUUGCUUUUCAAUCUGGGACAUUUGGAAAAAUAAUUGGAAAAGUAUAUGUGAUUAGUGUUAUGAAGCAGAUGGGUUUCUUCAAGAAUACAUGUGGAAAGUAGGAUGCAGAAGUUGGAUUCAGCCUUGGGAAUGGAGGAAGUCAGGAACUGACUCCCAAACCAAAACUGGCAUCAACUGAAGUUAGAAGACAACUCCCAGAGCAGGAUCGACCUUGAAUAUGAAUAAAACUGGCAGCAUUCCAGAUAGGGAACCUAAAAUAGUGGUCUUAUCUAUGAAAUAAUAAGGCUCAAUUGAAACAUAAUGCAUCAAGCUCAAUGUGCAUGCACAAUCUGCCAGGUCAUUCAGCGGACAGCAAGGAAGACCUUUGGCCUUCCUCCAAGAAGACCCCCGAAGAGACAAGAAGACUCCCUAGCAACAAUGGGAGCAUGCGCCAUGCAGUAGAGUGACACAGAUUUCAAGAAUCAAAAAUGGGAGCAGAUUUAUGGGAAUUAUUGAUGAAUAUGUAUUAGCGUACAGUAUAAAAAUUGUGCUUGGAUUCUUUUGCCCUUUGUACAGAUGGCAAUGUGAGAACCCCUCCCCGUACCCCGAUCGGUUUUGCUUCUGCUUUAUCUGAACCAUUGCCAAAUAACUCUUUGUAACCACUUCAUUAUAUUUUAUUGUAUUAUUAUUAUUUUAUUCCCCAAUUAAAAAUUGCUGCUAAAUUUCAA